RNAcentral lists this ribosomal RNA (460 nucleotides) under uncultured bacterium. Its description in RNAcentral is "partial 16S ribosomal RNA". It matches the Rfam family "Bacterial small subunit ribosomal RNA", at positions 338 to 795 of the family's 1533-position model. The record is from RNAcentral.
CCUACGGGGGGCAGCAGUGAGGAAUAUUGGUCAAUGGGCGUAAGCCUGAACCAGCCAAGCCGCGUGAGGGAUGAAGGUUCUAUGGAUCGUAAACCUCUUUUAUAAGGGAAUAAAGUGUGGGACGUGUCCUAUUUUGUAUGUACCUUAUGAAUAAGGAUCGGCUAACUCCGUGCCAGCAGCCGCGGUAAUACGGAGGAUCCGAGCGUUAUCCGGAUUUAUUGGGUUUAAAGGGUGCGUAGGCGGCCUUUUAAGUCAGCGGUGAAAGUCUGUGGCUCAACCCGAGAAUUGCCGUUGAAACUGGGGGGCUUGAGUAUGUGUGAGGCAGGCGGAAUGCGUGGUGUAGCGGUGAAAUGCUUAGAUAUCACGCAGAACCCCGAUUGCGAAGGCAGCCUGCCAGGCCAUGACUGACGCUGAUGCACGAAAGCGUGGGGAUCAAACAGGAUUAGAUACCCCAGUAGUC